Non-coding RNA from Triticum aestivum (bread wheat), 125 nucleotides. The record is from Rfam. Lineage: Eukaryota; Viridiplantae; Streptophyta; Magnoliopsida; Poales; Poaceae.
AAGUUACUCCCACCGUCCGAAAAUACUUGUCGAAGAAAUGGAUGUAUCUAGACAUAUUUUAGUUAUAGAUACAUCCAGUUUUAGCCAUUUUUUGAACAAGUAUUUCCGGACGGAGGGAGUACUUC